This 250-nucleotide ribosomal RNA is filed under the name uncultured bacterium. RNAcentral's name for it is "partial 16S ribosomal RNA". It matches the Rfam family "Bacterial small subunit ribosomal RNA", at positions 524 to 773 of the family's 1533-position model. The record is from RNAcentral.
UACGUAGGUGGCGAACGUUAUCCGGAGUGACUGGGUGUAAAGGGUCCGUAGGCGGGAGGACAAGUCUGACGUGAAAGCGCCCGGCUCAACUGGGCGAGUGCGUUGGAAACUGUCUUUCUUGACUCACGCAGAGGUCGGCGGAAUUCCCGGUGUAGUGGUGGAAUGCGUAGAGAUCGGGAGGAACCUCGAAAGCGAAGGCAGCCGACUAGGGGAUGAGUGACGCUGAGGGACGAAAGCGUGGGGAGCGAAC